RNAcentral lists this non-coding RNA (93 nucleotides) under Blastomonas sp. AAP25. RNAcentral's name for it is "Glycine riboswitch aptamer". It matches the Rfam family "Glycine riboswitch aptamer". From Rfam's summary of the family: This family represents the bacterial glycine riboswitch. Glycine riboswitches usually consist of two metabolite-binding aptamers domains with similar structures in tandem. Lineage: Bacteria; Pseudomonadati; Pseudomonadota; Alphaproteobacteria; Sphingomonadales; Blastomonadaceae. RNAcentral also lists the same sequence under 1 other name. The record is from Rfam by way of RNAcentral.
GAAAACGACACGGGAGAGCGCGGGGUGCAAGCCCCGCCACCGAAGGAGCAACCGCCCCGGAAUCUCUCAGGUCAUCGGGACCGUGUCGUUAGU